AUGAAUAAACUUGGUUAGGUUGUUGCUGGUUCUUAGGAGCAUGUGCACGCCGACUCCAUCUUUAACCACCUGUGCACCUUGCGUAGAUCUGAUAUUCUCGAGGAAACUCGGUUUGAGAAUUGCUGUGCACUUGCCAGCUCUUCUUGUAAUCAGGUCUAUGUUACUAUAUACUCCACAUGAAUGUAAUCGAAUGCUUUCAUUGGCCUUUGUGCCUUUAAAAACAAAUA
RNAcentral lists this unclassified non-coding RNA (227 nucleotides) under uncultured Entoloma. RNAcentral's name for it is "sequence contains ITS1". Lineage: Eukaryota; Fungi; Basidiomycota; Agaricomycetes; Agaricales; Entolomataceae. The record is from RNAcentral.